Small nucleolar RNA from Dipodomys ordii (Ord's kangaroo rat), 114 nucleotides. The record is from Ensembl. Lineage: Eukaryota; Metazoa; Chordata; Mammalia; Rodentia; Heteromyidae.
AUUGGCUGAAAGUCACCCCCAGCUUCGCGUGGGAUUCGGCACCCACAGUGUCCAGGGCGCUAAGCUGACUGCCCACUGCUAGUGCGGGACCAUGAAAGCCAGGCUCUGACAGAA